This 398-nucleotide ribosomal RNA is filed under the name uncultured bacterium. RNAcentral's name for it is "partial 16S ribosomal RNA". It matches the Rfam family "Bacterial small subunit ribosomal RNA", at positions 523 to 918 of the family's 1533-position model. The record is from RNAcentral.
AUACGUAGGGUGCGAGCGUUGUCCGGAAUUACUGGGCGUAAAGAGCUCGUAGGUGGUUUGUCGCGUCGUCUGUGAAAUUCCGGGGCUUAACUCCGGGCGUGCAGGCGAUACGGGCAUAACUUGAGUACUGUAGGGGAGACUGGAAUUCCUGGUGUAGCGGUGAAAUGCGCAGAUAUCAGGAGGAACACCGGUGGCGAAGGCGGGUCUCUGGGCAGUAACUGACACUGAGGAGCGAAAGCAUGGGUAGCGAACAGGAUUAGAUACCCUGGUAGUCCAUGCCGUAAACGGUGGGCGCUAGGUGUAGGGGUCUUCCACGACUUCUGUGCCGUAGCUAACGCAUUAAGCGCCCCGCCUGGGGAGUACGGCCGCAAGGCUAAAACUCAAAGGAAUUGACGGGG